Molecule: ribosomal RNA, 253 nt
Filed under: uncultured bacterium
Lineage: Bacteria
Description: partial 16S ribosomal RNA
Rfam family: Bacterial small subunit ribosomal RNA
Source: RNAcentral
UACAGAGGGUGCGAGCGUUAAUCGGAGUUACUGGGCGUAAAGGGCGCGUAGGCGGUUUAAUAAGAUUGAUGUGAAAUCCCUGGGCUUAACCUAGGAACUGCAUCGACGACUGUUAAGCUGGAGUACUGUAGAGGGUAGUAGAAUUUCCGGUGUAGCGGUGAAAUGCGUAGAGAUCGGAAGGAAUACCAGUGGCGAAGGCGGCUACCUGGACAGAUACUGACGCUGAGGCGCGAGAGCGUGGGGAGCAAACAGG